Molecule: RNase P RNA, 454 nt
Filed under: uncultured Flavonifractor sp.
Lineage: Bacteria; Bacillati; Bacillota; Clostridia; Eubacteriales; Oscillospiraceae
Description: Bacterial RNase P class A
Rfam family: Bacterial RNase P class A
About the family: Ribonuclease P (RNase P) is a ubiquitous endoribonuclease, found in archaea, bacteria and eukarya as well as chloroplasts and mitochondria.
Source: RNAcentral
GCAAGCUGGACAGCCGCGCCUGCGGGGCGAAAGGCCCGCGGGUGAGGAAAGUCCGGGCUCCAUAGGGCAAGGAUAACGGAUAACAUCCGCCGGGGGCGACCCUAGGAAAAGUGCAACAGAGAUAUACCGCCUUGGUUCCCCUCUAAUGGGGCCCCCGCGAAAGCGUUUGCUUUCGUGGGGAGAGGAGGCACAGCGGAAGGAGCGAGCUUUACCCCUCGGGGUAAAGCGAGUGAUCGGAAGCUUGUGCCGACGAGGUAAGGGUGGAAAGGCGAGGUAAGAGCUCACCCGAUGGCGUGCCAAGCGUCCAUCGCUGUAAACUCUAUCCGGAGCAACGCCGUGGAGGGACACAUAGGCCGGCCCGGCCGUCCCGGGGAGGCGGCUUGAGCGUACCGGCAACGGUGCGUCGAGAUAGAUGGCUGUCUUAAAGGACAGAACCCGGCUUACAGGCUUACUU